Molecule: transfer RNA, 78 nt
Filed under: Streptomyces sp. MBT49
Lineage: Bacteria; Bacillati; Actinomycetota; Actinomycetes; Kitasatosporales; Streptomycetaceae
Description: tRNA-Arg
Source: RNAcentral
GCCCCAGGUCACCGGCCCUACACCCCAGCCUCUCUCCUAAAGCGGGUGUCGCAGGUUCGAAGCCUGCCGGGGGCACCA